AAAAACCAAAUAGUGUGGGCCUCUGAAAAAACCAAAUAGUGUGGGCCUCUGAAAAAAAACUUAAUAGUGUGGGCCUCCGAAAAAAAUCAAAUAUGGAUGGGACUCCGAACAAAGACUGAUCCUGGUUGGUCAUAUCUAGCCGCUUACGCUAAAGAUAGACCCUUAAGGGUAAGGUGACCUUAUUCAACCGCUUAUGUUGAAAGUCGAUUCACUAUGAAAUAUAUGAUCUUAUCCAGCCGUUUAUGCCGAAGGUAUGUGCUAUGGAUAAUUUGAUUUU
Molecule: long non-coding RNA, 277 nt
Filed under: Trifolium pratense (red clover)
Lineage: Eukaryota; Viridiplantae; Streptophyta; Magnoliopsida; Fabales; Fabaceae
Description: long non-coding RNA (TPRA_LNC007971)
Source: RNAcentral